This 43-nucleotide ribosomal RNA is filed under the name Digitaria radicosa. Its description in RNAcentral is "partial 26S ribosomal RNA". Lineage: Eukaryota; Viridiplantae; Streptophyta; Magnoliopsida; Poales; Poaceae. The record is from RNAcentral.
CGCGACCCCAGGUCAGGCGGGACUACCCGCUGAGUUUAAGCAU